UCAGGACUCAGAGCUUUUAUCCAGCCUUGAGCUAUUCUUGCUCUGCGUGGGGGAGGGAGGGCUGUAGGCUGCUUCGUCUUCCGAGUAAGGAUGUGAAAAUGAAGAGGAGCCUGGUCUGAGGCUGAGGGGGGAGACAGCAGAUGAGUGCGUGGCCCAGGAGCCAGAGGAAAAGGAGCUGAAGAAAGAGCCUGGUGUCACAGAAAAUAGAACAUUAACGAUGUCUGCUGUGUUGUAUCUCCAAGCAGGAAAACAAGGCUCUGUGGGGGACAGGGCAGUGAAAAGGACCUUUUGCAGAGAUUACUCAUAAGAAACAAGGCUAAGUCUCCCCAGAGGAAAACUACAAGGGUCCUACCGCCGGGGUAGUGACGAGCACAUGCACGAGUGAGUCUGGUUGCUCUCAUCUUUGAAUUCUCUGCUGAAAUAGCACGUCCUCACAGGGAACUUGCCCAACCACCCUCUUCAAAGCAGAAGCCCCAGGUUCAUUUCUGACCUAGCAUUCCAUUUAUUUUCUUCAGAACAUGUGCUAUAAUAUGUAAAUAGCUUCUUUAUUGUUCACUGUUAAAUUUUUCUAUCUAGAAUGAAAUGUGUUUAUUGCAGGAAAAUGGAAUCUUGUAAGAACGGUUUGUCCAGAUCACUUCGGGAUCCCCAGCACCUGGCACGUGGUGGCACCCACUAGCUUCUCAAUGAAAGCUUGUUCAAUAAAUGAAUGACCCCCACUAUUGGUGAGAGUGUCUGAAUUUAGACACCGUUUAA
This 753-nucleotide long non-coding RNA is filed under the name Sus scrofa (pig). RNAcentral describes it as "lncRNA (ENSSSCG00005043120.1)". Lineage: Eukaryota; Metazoa; Chordata; Mammalia; Artiodactyla; Suidae. The record is from RNAcentral.